GUGGGAGUUUAAAAAGAAAUCAGACAAAGGUAAAGGUAUCUCUCAAACCUGUAAAGAAUGAAGCUAUCAACUCAAUUGAUAAUAUUUCUAUCAAGUGAAAGAAUCCAGCAUUGGCUCACUAAGCAGCUGAAAAGACAAGCAUUAGUUAAGAAUAGAAUUGAAGGCCUAAUUUUGGAAGUUUCUUGUUUGUGUGUGUCUGCAUAUGAACUAGAAGUAGAUGAUCCUGGGAAAACCCAUCUGGUGACAUCAGAUCUGAAAUGAAGAUGGUGGAUGAGGGAAUAGUAGACAAUGCCAUAUCCUCCGGCUGGCAGAUGCUGAAGUUUGCUAACUACCUGAAUUAGGACUGGAUACUUUGGUACAUUUCAAAAAGAGGCAGCUUUACUGAAAGUGACAGAUGACUUAUGGACCAGGAACUCUGAGCAAGAUUGCCUUUGUUGUAUAUGUAUAUGUGUGAAUUAUUAAGCAGCUGAUGCACAAG
Molecule: long non-coding RNA, 478 nt
Organism: Malaclemys terrapin pileata
Lineage: Eukaryota; Metazoa; Chordata; Testudines; Emydidae
Exons: 4
Source: RefSeq, a predicted model, not a curated record